GAGGGGGACAACAGUUGGAAACGACUGCUAAUACCGCAUGACGCAUAGAGGUCGCAUGAUCUUUAUGCCAAAGAUUUAUCGCUUCAAGAUGGCCUCGCGUCUGAUUAGCUGGUUGGCGGGGUAACGGCCCACCAAGGCAACGAUCAGUAGCCGGACUGAGAGGUUGAACGGCCACAUUGGGACUGAGAUACGGCCCAGACUCCUACGGGAGGCAGCAGUGGGGAAUAUUGGGCAAUGGGCGCAAGCCUGACCCAGCAACGCCGCGUGAAGGAAGAAGGCUUUCGGGUUGUAAACUUCUUUUAAGAGGGAAGAGCAGAAGACGGUACCUCUAGAAUAAGCCACGGCUAACUACGUGCCAGCAGCCGCGGUAAUACGUAGGUGGCAAGCGUUGUCCGGAUUUACUGGGUGUAAAGGGCGUGCAGCCGGG
Molecule: ribosomal RNA, 427 nt
Filed under: uncultured bacterium
Lineage: Bacteria
Description: bacterial SSU rRNA
Rfam family: Bacterial small subunit ribosomal RNA
Source: RNAcentral